AUGGUCGACGUGGGUUAAAGUGUAGUAUCUGUUCUUAUCAGCUUAAAAUGUGAUAUGGGUUAUAUUAGGACCCAAGAUAUGAAACUUAUUUUUGCAUAUUGGCGGAGUGCUUGAAGCCUGCUUCACCUCCGCCGGAUCGGCCCGGUAUUGCACUUAGUAGCUUCAGGAUCGGCCUACGUUUA
Molecule: small nuclear RNA, 182 nt
Organism: Dermacentor silvarum
Lineage: Eukaryota; Metazoa; Arthropoda; Arachnida; Ixodida; Ixodidae
Product: U2 spliceosomal RNA
Exons: 1
Source: RefSeq, a predicted model, not a curated record